CUAUCUACCCAAUACUAAAAUGUAGCCCAAAAUUACUACUUUACCCUUACAACCAAUAUAUUUUACACUACCAAAAGGUCUUUCAUGUAAUUAACAAAAUCAAUAUUCAUCCAUGCCAUUUGUUCACCUAUAAUUGGGCAAUUUAUUUAAUUUUUGUACUUUGCCAAUACACUUUUCAGAAACUUUCGUUUCCCUCCAACAAAUAUACUCUCUUUGCAAGCAACACAAGCACCAUACGUCUUUCUGCAAACAUCACCAGCACUUGUCCUUGUCUCGUCACUUCAAAAUUCAAAAUAAAGAUCCCUCACUUUUCCUUGUCUUCCCCCUUCUCACCUUAAACCCUAGCAGACAAAGUUCUCUUCAUUUUUCCCUUUUCCAUGUCUCUCUUUUUAAUGGUUCCUUACGAAAACUAUUUCCUCUCUUCCUUCUUCUUCGUUAAACUAUGGAGGCAUGUCUGUUAUUAUCAAUAAUGGUGGAUCUGACGGUGCUGGUUAAGAGAUGCUGGUGGUCUCUGAAAAACUAAGGGGGAAGAUCUCACAUUUGAUGCUUUGAAGAAUAACUACCUUCUUCUUCAGUUGUCGAGUUGUCGCAUAUGUUUGUUUCAAACUUGCUCCAAAUUUGUGUUUUUGAGACAUCUUGAUGUUCUGCUACAAAUUUUGAAGGAGAUGAACUAACUCCAUCUGCAAAAGUAUUGAUUUUUUCACUCAGCUACUAAAUACUUUUCUUUACUUUUGUUAUCAUUACAUAUCUCCGAACAAAGUGUCAAGACCUCUAAUUCUUAUCAGGGACUUGAAACCUAAACAAAACGUUUGGAAAAUUGUUAUUUGUGUCGUGGAUCUAUGGAUCUUAAAGAAACAUAAUGGACAAUAACAUCUUGAAGCUAUUAUACAAUAUGCAAAGGCUGGAGAAACUCCAACAAACACACGCCGAUAGCGUAGCAGCUGGAAAAUUCAUGGAAGAGGUUAGACACUCCCGUAAGCUUGGUAAAUCAUAGUUAUGUAAUCAAAUGUGUAACCUGUAAGUUUUUAUAGUUUUAUGUAAUCAAAUGGCCAAGCUUGACGUUCCCGUGAAACUUGUGAUAGACUCCGUAGUGGCUUAUACCAUGGAUGACAUGGACAUGGUAUUUGUCGGAGCAGACGGAGUUGUUGAAAAUGGUGUUAUAAUUAAUAUAAUGGGAACAUAUCAAAUUGUGUUGGUUGCAAAGAGUAUGAAUAAGCAGGUUUUUAUGGCUGCUGAAAGCUACAAGGUGCAUUUGACUAUUUACUACUUACAAUUAUCAAUCUAAUAUUUUAGCUGUUGUUUCCUGUGUUCAUAAACAUAGAAGGUUGACGAGCAGUUGAUUUCAGUGUACCUAUUCCAUCCAAGGUUGACGAGCAAAACCGACAAAUCACAUAAAUAAGAACUCAGGAUGAGAACUCAGGAUUCUGGUAGAUGAUUCUUAGUCCGAUGAUUGGUCUGAUAAUCUUGGAGAAGCAAUAGCUUGUGGAUGUGGAUAAGGUUGAAGAGGAAGAGGACAUUAUUACUCUUAAGAUGUUGAUACAUCAACAUCAACGUCACACAAAAAGUCUGCUUGCCAAGGAAGUGUUGGUUGAUUUUGAGAAUCUUUUACCUAAAGUUGUCAAGGUGUUACCCCGGGAGUAUAAACAUGUUCUUGCAAGUAUGAAGUAUGAUGUAGUAGAGAUGAAACAUAUGAUGUAGUGGAGUGUGCUGCUGCUGAUAUAGAUGAAAAAUAUGAUGAAGCUUAAGCAGUAGAGAAAGAUGAUUUUGAAGAGCUAAAGAAGUUGGCAACUGCAUCUUUGAGUGAGAACUCAAGUGAGGUAUAUUGAACUUGCAAUAUCUUCAGAAAAUACUCUAAUUUGGCUAUUCUAGUGGUGUUAGUCAAACAGUCGUAAAUCUACGGUGGUGUUUUGAAGUGGUGCUUACAAUCUGCAGUUGUGAUCCGGGUGCUUUGGUUUCUGUUUGAGGCUAAGUGCUUUGAAACUGGUGGAGCCAUUGCAAUUAAGAAAGUCUUACAAGAUUGGAUGCUUAAAAAUAGGGAACUCCAAGUUAUGCGUAUAUUUGAACCUACUAAUGUUAUUAAACUAAAGCAUUGUUUCUACUCAGCAGGUGAAAAAGAAGAGGUGUAUUUUAACUUAGUGUUUAAGUAUGUACCUGAAACUGCCUACAGAGUUUCAAAGAACUAUGUCAGGAUGCAUCAACACAUGCCUAUACUUAUAUGCACCAUGUGAACAAAGUGCUUUGAGAUGGCCAUAACUAUUGUUGAACAAAGUGCUGGCCAAUAUCAUGUUUGGUUUAUAAUUGCAGAUGUACAAGUACUUCUAUACUUUAUAUUUCAUACUAUUAAUAGUUACACUUUUAAGUAUUUUGUUUCUUUUUCAAUCAUCUUAACUUCGUAUACAAAUGAAUUCUUUAGAAAAUCAU
This is a long non-coding RNA of Vicia villosa (hairy vetch), 2421 nucleotides long. RefSeq lists it as uncharacterized. The record is from RefSeq and is a predicted model, not a curated record. Lineage: Eukaryota; Viridiplantae; Streptophyta; Magnoliopsida; Fabales; Fabaceae. The transcript is spliced from 8 exons.